This 253-nucleotide ribosomal RNA is filed under the name uncultured bacterium. Its description in RNAcentral is "partial 16S ribosomal RNA". It matches the Rfam family "Bacterial small subunit ribosomal RNA", at positions 524 to 776 of the family's 1533-position model. The record is from RNAcentral.
UACAGUGACUGCAAGCGUUAUUCGGAUUCACUGGGCGUAAAGGGUGCGCAGGCGGCCAAGUGUGUGAGGCGUGAAAGCCCGGGGCUUAACCCCGGAAUUGCACCUCAAACUACUCGGCUAGAGCAUUGGAGAGGGUAGCAGAAUUCAUGGUGUAGCAGUGAAAUGCGUAGAUAUCAUGAGGAAUACCAGAGGCGAAGGCGGCUACCUGGACAAUUGCUGACGCUCAGGCACGAAAGCGUGGGGGGCAAAAGGG